This 253-nucleotide ribosomal RNA is filed under the name uncultured bacterium. RNAcentral's name for it is "partial 16S ribosomal RNA". It matches the Rfam family "Bacterial small subunit ribosomal RNA", at positions 524 to 776 of the family's 1533-position model. The record is from RNAcentral.
UACGGGGGGGGCAAGCGUUGUUCGGAAUUACUGGGCGUAAAGGGCUCGUAGGUGGCCAAUUAAGUCAGACGUGAAAUCCCCAGGCUUAACCUGGGAACUGCGUCUGAUACUGACUGGCUUGAAUUCGGGAGAGGGAUGCAGAAUUCCAGGUGUAGCGGUGAAAUGCGUAGAUAUCUGGAGGAAUACCGGUGGCGAAGGCGGCAUCCUGGACCGAGAUUGACACUGAUGAGCGAAAGCCAGGGGAGCAAACGGG